RNAcentral lists this ribosomal RNA (253 nucleotides) under uncultured bacterium. RNAcentral's name for it is "partial 16S ribosomal RNA". It matches the Rfam family "Bacterial small subunit ribosomal RNA", at positions 524 to 776 of the family's 1533-position model. The record is from RNAcentral.
UACGUAGGGGGCAAGCGUUGUCCGGAAUUAUUGGGCGUAAAGAGCGUGUAGGCGGUCCGGUAAGUCAGAUGUGAAAGUCAAGGGCUCAACCCUUGAAUGCCGGUUGAUACUGUCGGGCUAGAGUCCGGAAGAGGCGAGUGGAAUUCCCGGUGUAGCGGUGAAAUGCGCAGAUAUCGGGAGGAACACCAAUGGCGAAGGCAGCUCGCUGGGACGGUACUGACGCUGAGACGCGAAAGCGUGGGGAGCAAACAGG